This 83-nucleotide transfer RNA is filed under the name Schistocephalus solidus. It matches the Rfam family "tRNA". From Rfam's summary of the family: Transfer RNA (tRNA) molecules are approximately 80 nucleotides in length. Their secondary structure includes four short double-helical elements and three loops (D, anti-codon, and T loops). The record is from Rfam by way of RNAcentral. Lineage: Eukaryota; Metazoa; Platyhelminthes; Cestoda; Diphyllobothriidea; Diphyllobothriidae.
UGCCUCGUAGCUCAGAUGGCUAGAGCGUUGGCUGUACUAAAGCCGUCAUCUUGCUAGUGUGGGUUCAAAUCCCACCGAGGCCA